This is a long non-coding RNA of Oncorhynchus keta (chum salmon), 439 nucleotides long. RefSeq lists it as uncharacterized. Lineage: Eukaryota; Metazoa; Chordata; Actinopteri; Salmoniformes; Salmonidae. The transcript has 3 exons. The record is from RefSeq and is a predicted model, not a curated record.
GACAUAUAGGUUCACCACUGUACUAACCUGUCACACACUGAAGACCUAUAGGUUCACCACUGUACUAACCUGUCACACACUGAAGACCUAUAGGUUCACCACUGUACUAACCUGUCACACACUAAAGACCUAUAGGUUCACCACUGUACUAACCUGUCACACACUAAAGACCUAUAGGUUCACCACUGUACUAACCUGUCACAUACUGAAGACCUAUAGGUUCACCACUGUACUAACCUGUCACACACUAAAGACCUAUAGGUUCACCACUGUACUAACCUGUCACACUAAAGACCUAUAGGUUCACCACUGUACUAACCUGUCACACACUGAAGACCUAUAGGUUCACCACUGUACUAACCUGUCACACACUGAAGACCUAUAGGUUCACCACUGUACUAACCUGUCACACACUGAAGACCUAUAGGUUCACCACUGU